CAAAAUUUGUAUAGGUUUUUUAAUUAGUACAAAAAAAUUUUUCGCCUUUGGCGAAUCUUGCCCCCUGUCGGGGAAUCGUGAAUACGCCACUGAAUACAGCCACCCCUCUUUUUCUAUUCAAAACAAUUAAACACAUUUCCAAAUUUGAACAAAAAAACACAAUGUAUAAGUGUUGUUAAAUUUCCAAAUAUAUAACAUUAUAUAUUCAACGUAAGGAUAUAUGAUAUUAUAACGUGAGUUAAGACAUCCGGUCAAUGGCGAAGCUUUGAAACAUGUAGUAGAUCAAGUCGAUUUUUCAUCGCGGAAGUUCCGAAUUUCGAUUGAGAUUAUCAACUGAUGGAUUCUAUCCUUUUGGAAAUUCAAGUACGUCUUAUUUUCAUGCUGGCCAAUGAUUGUGACUCUACAAAACUUUUCACAAUGAUGAUGAUAUUAUACCUGCGUUUAUGUUCUUGACAUUAUUGAUUACUGAUUCAAAAAGUCCAAAUCUGGACCCGACAUGUUCUUUUUUGCAAAUUUAUAAAAAAAUAUUAAACUCGACGGCCAAAUUGGGUUUGGUUCUAUAUUUUUUAAUAUUCUCGGAUUUUGACCUAAUCCCAACCUGAUUUUAAAAUUCUAGUUAAAUCAAGACAAACCCUCCCAUAUAUGUUCAUUCCUAUCUUUCAAUAGUAUUAUUAGAGCUGCCGCCCAUUUUUUUCUUCCAUUCAAGCCGUAUUUUUAGAAGAAAAAUAAAAUAAUAUCGAAAAAUGUAUUAUCAUCAUCAUCAUCAAAGACUACUGGGACCGAGACCCAGUCAACCUUGACAACCUCCGUAAGGUGAGCCGAAACCCAGUCAACAACCAACCGUAUCGGUAAGGAAUAAGACUUGAAAGAAAAUCAGGCCAAAGAGAGCUAUGUCGUCGUCCUUCUUGCGAUUAAGUACGUAAAUGACAAAAAAUUUAGUAAAUCGAAAGACAAAAAUUCAGUAAAUCGCAGAUAACAAAAGAAGAAUCGCAAAUUGCAAAAGAAAGAGAGAAAGAAAAUCGUAAAUCGUUGUAUUAUAUAAUCGCAAACCAGAUUCACAGUCGCCAAGAACAAUCGACGGAAAUUCCAGUUGCAAACAAGAACCGAUCGCAAAUCGCAACGCCAAGACGAGAUGCCCAAAUCGCGACAAUGAAGAAAAUCCAAACCACAAAGUCGCCGAAAUCGGAAAAGAAUGGAUUAAGGAAACACACUGUCAGAUCGAUCGUGGAAGCACACUGCCGAUCACUGGGUGGUCAAGAAGAAGAGCCAAGAAAACAAAAUCGGUUGUCAAAAUAAAAACAAAUUAAAUUACGUUUUUACCCAACUGAUACCAUCUUAGAAAUUGUUGGUGCCGAGCAGGCCCGUCGAGCGGACCUCGGGCCGAACAGACCAUGGGUCCGCCGUCUGGGCCAAAGAAGGCCCAUGGGCGAAUUUUAUAAAUGUCUCCCGUGUUCUAACAAGGGAAGGGGUUGGAAAAUAGAGAGAAUAUACUAUCUUGUGAGAGAGAGGGUUGUGUGUGUGAGCAACCGAUUUGUAAGCCCACACACCAUCAGAAACUAAUCACACUUCAUUAACUAUAACGCGAUCUCCACCCCAAGUCCACGACCAAAGAAUCACCAGAUGAAUCGCCGGUCGGAGAGGGAUUUGGGGAAGAAAUCAAAACAAAAAACGAACGAUUUAAAAAAG
This 1686-nucleotide long non-coding RNA is filed under the name Zostera marina. RNAcentral's name for it is "long non-coding RNA (ZMAR_LNC002023)". Lineage: Eukaryota; Viridiplantae; Streptophyta; Magnoliopsida; Alismatales; Zosteraceae. The record is from RNAcentral.